GAUGAACGCUGGCGGCGUGCCUAAUACAUGCAAGUCGAGCGAACGGACGAGAAGCUUGCUUCUCUGAUGUUAGCGGCGGACGGGUGAGUAACACGUGGAUACCCUACCUAUAAGACUGGGAUAACUUCGGGAACCCGGAGCUAAUACCGGAUGAUAUUUUGAGCCGCAUGGUUCAAAAGUGAAAGACGGUCUUGCUGUCACUUAUAGAUGGAUCCGCGCUGCAUUAGCUAGUUGGUAAGGUAACGGCUUACCAAGGCAACGAUGCAUAGCCGACCUGAGAGGGUGAUCGGCCACACUGGAACUGAGACACGGUCCAGACUCCUACGGGAGGCAGCAGUAGGGAAUCUUCCGCAAUGGGCGAAAGCCUGACGGAGCAACGCCGCGUGAGUGAUGAAGGUCUUCGGAUCGUAAAACUCUGUUAUUAGGGAAGAACAUAUGUGUAAGUAACUGUGCACAUCUUGACGGUACCUAAUCAGAAAGCCACGGCUAACUACGUG
Molecule: ribosomal RNA, 497 nt
Filed under: uncultured bacterium
Lineage: Bacteria
Description: partial 16S ribosomal RNA
Rfam family: Bacterial small subunit ribosomal RNA
Source: RNAcentral